UAAAGUACAGAACAAGACAAUAAUCUCUAAAAUCCAAAGCAUAUGAAAUGAAAUCUGGGAGCUAAGAAGGUGGAUCAGGGUGAGAUUAAGCUCCAGUUUGGCUUUGGCCCUUGAGUUCCAAAGGAAGGGAUUUGGUCCUACCUUAGUGAGGGAAAAUUCUUAUUGGUCCCUCUUUUCCUCUAAGUCUAAUUGGUUUCUAGUCCCUUCCCACUGGUGUGGAUAUCAGGAGGAUGUGGGAAGUGGUGUAACUUUGGGAGGUAAUCUUGAAGCUGCCACAAACGGUCUAUUUCACUGUCUUCACUCUGCUGGGACUAUGAUCAGCACUGUCCAUGGCCACUACUCCUCCACAGCGAGAUCUGAUGCCAGCUGACUCUGAGCCUUGGGGUUGGACCCUCCCUGCUGUCUCCCUGCUCUGGGCGGUCUGAUGGCCUCCUCCACCAUGAUGUCACCUUGCACCAAGAAGGCACUGAGCACAACUCACUAUUUGUGUUCUAGCCCUGAGACCCAUUUUAUUCAUCAGCCACCUGUGAGACUGUGUUUCUCUUUGUUCCUCAGUCUUCAGUCCCCCAACACCCUCCCACCUGAUUCAUCCUGAAACUCUCACAAACGACCAGCAUUGUCCCAGAACAGCCAGAGCUGUGAGGUAUCAAACUCACUCUAGAGCUGCUUUUAUAUCUCCCCUGAAACCCAUUCUCAUGAGUUAGACCUUGUAUGUUCACCUUCUUGGUCUUGUUUGCAAGUUGUCACCAGCAACUUGAGGCAUCCAUGAGAACCUGGUUUAUUAGUCAAUUUUGCAUUACUAUAACCAAUACCCAAGGUAGACCAACUUUAUAAAGUAUGGAGGUUUAUUUAGCUCAUGGCUUUUGAGAUUCAAGGGCAGAGUACUGGCAUUGUCUCAGCUCUGGUGAGGUCUGUCUUGUAAAAACUAAGGUCCUAAGAGGAAUAUUUUAAUCCCUUUCAAGGGCAAGCCCCAAACUGAUCUAAAAACCUGCCAUAAGAUUCUACCUCUUAAAGGUCUCACCUCUUAAUAUCUUCACACCAAAGGCCAAGCUUCCAACAUAUGAAUCUUUAGGAAACAAACAAACCAAACCAUGGUACCUGGUUACACUCAUCAUUGCUGCAUUGACUAGUGACGUUAUCAGAUAUUUUUUCAGCUUAUUGGUUUCCAUGGCCCAUUGGCAGCCAUAUACAACCCCAGGUAUAAUCUCCCCAGUGAGGAUAUCAUUGUGCCCCUUUCCUCUCCAACUCUCCUGGAAUGAAGAGAUGCUCACUGACUCAAGCUCAGCUCAGAAAGAUGAUUUCUGUAUCCUUAUGUGUGGGGUUUGCAUGAUUUCCCUCUCUAUCCCCAUCUGUAUACAGAGACCCCUGCAGUUCUAAUGCCAGAGUCCUAGAUGUGGCCCUCAACUGUUCUCCCCAGUAGGGAUGCUCAGAGUCUUCUAUAAGGCUGGGGCCAUCCUUAGAACAUCCUGGAACAUCCCAGUCAAUGUGACCUCCUAGUCAAUGCUGACAUAUUAUCUUUCUGGGGGCAGGCUACAUAUUAGUAUUCCAACAAACUUAGAAGGAAAAUCUGCAAGCUCAGAACAAUUCCAAGUAAACAUAGCCCCUCUCUGCUAUGAGGUGUGGGGAAAAUUAGCUAGAAACUGGGUCCUUACAGCCCUGGGCAUGAUUCCCAGCUCUCCAGUUGACUAGGUCUCUGACUUAAGCAAGACAUUUCUGCUCUUUGAGCCCAUUCUUCAAUUGUGAAAUGGGGGAAAGGGGUACCUCACCCAUGAAGUUUGGAUGACAAUUAAAUGAGACCAUGUAUAUAUAGAGUUUAACAUCCUGCUUCACCCAUGACAGCCUCAACAAAGAUUAAUUAGUUCCCUUCCUUCUAGAAUGUCUCCAGUCUCAAACUCAAUUCAUAUAUUGUCAUCAUGGGAAUACAUAAUUUUUUCUGCUUUUUUUCCUGGUAUUUUUCUCUACAUACACCCUUCCUUAUUUGAUUUAUCUUUUUUUCAUGGUGAAUAUUCCAUUAGAAAAAUAGACCAUAAACAUUUGUUUAAUCAUCUCCCUAUUAAGAGAAAAUUUAAUAGUUUUAGGUUUCUAGUUGAGCAUACACUGCUUUCUUAUUCUGUGCAGUUGUUUCUGCAAUAUUAAAUUCUCCAGGGUGGCAUUACUGGGUUAUAGGGUAGGCACAUCUUUUGGCUCUUAUUCAAUGUUGCUACACCCCCUGUAGAACAUCAAGCUGAUUUAUGUGUCCCUAGCAAUCUUUAAGGUCUAUUCCCUUUUGGUAUUGCUGAUUUUUCAUUGAUUACUCCUCCUACUCCCACCCCAAUUUUUGGCUAAUGUCAUGUAAGGUUAAGGAUGAAAAGUCAUGGAAGUUUUUUGUCUUACUUAUUUUGCUACAUUACUAGGUGUCCAGUGGUAUCUCAGGAAGUUUAUAAUUUUUUAUUGAUGAGGGUAAUCUUUUCUGAUGUGUUUGUUAGUUUAUUAAUAGUAUUUGCUUAGAUGUUGCUCCUCUCUGUGGGUACCAACUUUUGAACUUGUAUUGGUUCCUUAUACACUUUGGAUAGCAUAAAUUGGACAUCUUCAACACAUAUAUUCUAUAUCCCAUUAAGUUUAAUUAAUCUAAUUUAAGUUUUAUUCCAUGUUCUUCUUUGGAAGUCUUCAUUUUUAUAUAGUUCGUCUUAUGUACUCUGCUUCAGUAAUUAAGAAUUCAUAGUGGGGAGAAACAGGCAACAGCUUGUUCCCCCAGCUGCAUAUGACAUUGCUUUCUUAAAGGGGUGACUGAAAUCUGUUCCUGCCCCCUCCACCAUGUUGGCUACAAGGCCCCAUCUCACAUUGGUCUGUUCUCUGUCCCAGGUCUGCCAUGUGAAUCUGGAAGGGCAGCCGUUCUACUCCAAGAAGGACAAGCCCCUGUGCAAGAAGCACGCACAUGCCAUCAAUGUGUAGGGAGCCAAGGGCGUCUGGUGCAGACGAGGCCCCAGGCUGCUCCUGCUGCUGACAACGAAGGAUUCGAGGAGGCUGAUAUUUCUUUUGGGGGGAAAAGGGGGAAGAGAGGAAGCAAUUGAGCUCUUUUGAAGUAUAAUUUUAGUCUUUUCUUCUGUACACAUAUCGUGUAUUUGCAUAGUUCAGACUAGAAGCCAAAUGAAGAUUCUAAACCAAGCUAGUAAUUAAUCCAAGACUGGAAUUGCACUUCAAACGUUUAAGACAGGAUUCCAAGAACUCAAAAGUGAAAAAUGAAAAGCAGCUUUCCCAAAGUGAUACACCUCCCUGCUGUCAUCAGAGCAGGGACAGAGCUCAGAGCAGUCAUGGAGAAUCCGAAGCAUUCUGUGUUCUGUAGAGCUCCUCUGGCAAACAAAACGAAGUGCCAAACAGUGCUUGCUGCAGGGUAUUUUUAGAGCCAUAACUGAGAGCUUGUUAGCUAAGACCAAUUGGGCUUUCCUCGCCAAAAAAGGAAGUGUUAUUCCAUUACUAGCGUCAUGGAGCUACCUCUGCACAUCAGACUUCAGGCCAUGAACAAACUUGAAAUGUCUAAAAGGAGCCCAGAUGUCAGAAGAGGUGUCUUCUGGGAGCCACUGGGCGGUUGACAAGGCUCCAGGAAGAGCUCUGGUUCAUGCUGCUAACAGCCAAGGAAGGAUGGGCCCUUCAGCUUCCCUCUUUCAGUUUGAAAUAUCCCAUGUCCCUGGAAGGCUUAGCUCCUUUUUGAAUUGUGAAGGAGAAGUGGAAUUGGGUUUUUCCAGUUUAGCUUUGUAGUGUAUGAGAGGAGAGUUUAAAAGAUUCUGGGUUGCGUUGGACCCUUGUUUUGCUUUAAGAGAUUCCUAAGCAUGAGUGUCCUCUGCAUGUAUUUCACUCCCUACCUGCAACUGCUCACUUAUAAUGUCUUCCUCAGCACCCCUACCCCCCAAACAGGCUCCAUGGCCUGUGGAAAGAAAAGACAGUGUCUGACACAGGAUGGCAGAACAGGCUAACACGCCCAAACUGUGGGUGGGGAAGAGGAACCUUACUUUCUGCCAACCUCAGUAAGAACGCAUGAGCUGGCAGGAUCUUCAGGUCUGCACCAUCCUUUUCAUACAUAUAUUCCUUUAAAUGCAGCACACUGAUUAUGUACAGUCAUCUUGAUGGCUGGAAGGAAAAGAAGGAUGUUUUGCUGUUUUGGCCAAUAUUUUCAGAAUGUAUAAGGUGUAUUGAUCUAGCAGUUAUUUAAGUAUUUAAUGGAAUAGACUUGAGCCUUUAAUUUCUUUGCAAUAUAGGUGAUAGUUGGAGUUAAGUAAUCAUUACUUAAAGCUGUUUGGCAAUAAAAUGAGAAGCUUUAUUUCUGAGGUUGGAGACCAAAUGCUCUCUUUCCUUUUUAGGAAACACUAUUAAGAUGUUCAUAGAAUAUGGCAUUGAAGCAAGCAGUUUGCAUGGAUGUUUUGGAUUGGAGCACAAUAUUUAGGCAUUUUUCCUAUUCUCUGAUAAUGUCUCCUCACUCUUGUGUUGAAUUUUCUCUUUGCACGUUUGAAAUGUUUUACAGGAAUACAUUAGGACUUUUUUUCUGCUGAGAACUUCCAGGGGACUGCCGUUCUACCAGAGUGUGUCUCUUCUCCCCGAGGGACAAUGAAACAGCUGGCCAUGUCCCUAGCGGAAGCCCAUACUUUGUCCAAGUGCAAGGCCAUCGGCCCUUCCUGGCACCAUUAGGGAGGAGCAUAAAUGUGCUCCUACCAGAGGGCACUUUUUUUAUUUUGAUGCAGUAAAGAAAGUAAACACAAAGCACCAAGGAGAGUAAAUUUUGCUGGAACAGCCUGGAAAUUUUGCAUGAGAUGCAAACAAGUACCUUGGAGUAUUCUGUUAUUCUUGGAAAGUUCAAAUAUACAGGGACAAGAAGCUUGCUACUACAUAGAAAGGCUCUAAGCAGGGUUUUUGUCCAGAAAAUCAUCUACUAAGUGAUCAGCAACUGUUCUGGAGGAAAGAAAAACAUUUUAGAGUUUCUAAAAUCUCUUUUUAAAGGUUUUAUGCAAGUGUUCAUUAAAAAAUGUGUGAUCAACCAGGUGUGGUGGUACAUGCCUGUAAUCCCAGCUACCUGGGAAGCUGAGGCAAGAGAAUCAUAAGUUUAAGGCUAACCUGGGCAAUUUAGACCCUGUAUUAAAAUAAAAAAUUAAAGGGUUGGGGAUUUAGCUCAGUGACAGAGUGCUCCUGGAUUCAAUCCCCAGUACUAGAGGGGAAAAAAAGAAAAAAGGGAAAUAUGGAAAUAUCUUAAAGGACAGUUUUACCUUAGUCCUCUAUUGAAAAAUUUCCCCCACAUUUCAGAGCUCAGGAUCCUGAGACUCUUAUUUGCCAAAAAAAUAAGCAAACAAGCAAUAAAACGUUUUUAAGGGUUGAGGGAUAUAGCCCAGUGAUAGAGUGCUUUGCUAGCAUGUGCCAGGCCCUGGGUUUGAUGCUCAGCACUGCAAAACAAAACCAAAAACCAAACACAACCACCACCAAAACAAACAAACAAACAAAACAAACAAACCUUAAAGAUAGCAGGAAAAGGAGGUAGUGUUGAGUGUGGUUCACCUGUUUUCUGCGAGUCUGGCGUAGUGUCAAGAUUAAGACGGUGUAGUUCAAGUUAAUAUCAUGGGUGUCCUACAACACCAGACAUAACUUUUAAUAGUUCAUGGUAAGGAGCACACUGAAUCUAUAGUUCUUGAUUGCUUUAUAUGACAUUAAUUUAACACUGAUAAACAUUAACUUUUUGUAAAGGAGUGACUUUGUUCUGCAGUGUUUGUGUUAGGAAUCUAGCUUUUAUAAUGUUAACUUUUCAACGUAUGAUACCUUUCCUAUUUUUUGUGUGUGUUUUCUUUCCCUGGGAGUGGGCGCGGGUAAGAUUUCAGAAGUGGAAUGUAACAUGUUAGAGGUGUGCACAAAACUAUUUUGCAUGGUUUUUGUUCAUUUGGUAUUUUUUUGUUUUUGUUUUUUGGCCCGUGUGAAUUCUACUUUUUAGUAAAAUAAAACUCAAAAAAGGAUGUGCAAAUAACAUAUUUUUCUGUGUAUAGUUUUUUCAUGUGACACCAAAAGUAGUUUACUUCUAGAUGGCCAUAAAUAACAGUCUGAGACAAAACUAAGCUUCCUAAGAACAAGAAAUAUAGUUCACUUCUUCUAUUGCUCAAUAGAAGUUUAAUCAUCUUAUUUUAACAGAAAGAUUUAUAUGUAAUACAAACAUCUUGCAUAAAGGAAUUUACCAGGUAUAUAGUAAGCUAAAGACUAAGCCUUGCUUUGUAUUUUCACCAAGGUUUGUUUAGUUACUUGGUAGCCAAAUAUUUCAAAUUCAUUUAUUUUUUAUUCUGCUCUAAAUGUCUUUAUAGCUAGAAAUGUUGCUAUAUUUCGUCCCAUUUUGUUUGUCUUCAAAUAAAGUCAGAGUAAAAUCCUCAUAACAUUAAAAAAAAUAAUGAAAACCCUUCUGAAGUACCAUGCUUAACAAAACCAAUUCAUUCUUUUUUAAGAUACUCUUUCUUAAGCAUUUCAUAAGACUACAUCACAUACUACCAGAGAAAUGAAAAGUUGUGCUGCAGUUGUGUACAAUCACUCAAAAUGCAUUCUGCUGUCAUACAUA
RNAcentral lists this long non-coding RNA (6553 nucleotides) under Marmota monax (woodchuck). The record is from RNAcentral. Lineage: Eukaryota; Metazoa; Chordata; Mammalia; Rodentia; Sciuridae.